CCUACGGGAGGCUGCAGUGGGGAAUAUUGCACAAUGGGCGCAAGCCUGAUGCAGCCAUGCCGCGUGUGUGAAGAAGGCCUUCGGGUUGUAAAGCACUUUCAGCGGGGAGGAAGGCGGUGAGGUUAAUAACCUCAUCGAUUGACGUUACCCGCAGAAGAAGCACCGGCUAACUCCGUGCCAGCAGCCGCGGUAAUACGGAGGGUGCAAGCGUUAAUCGGAAUUACUGGGCGUAAAGCGCACGCAGGCGGUCUGUCAAGUCGGAUGUGAAAUCCCCGGGCUCAACCUGGGAACUGCAUUCGAAACUGGCAGGCUAGAGUCUUGUAGAGGGGGGUAGAAUUCCAGGUGGCGCGGUGAAAUGCGUAGAGAUCUGGAGGAAUACCGGUGGCGAAGGCGGCCCCCUGGACAAAGACUGACGCUCAGGUGCGAAAGCGUGGGGAGCAAACAGGAUUAGAUACCCGAGUAGUC
RNAcentral lists this ribosomal RNA (465 nucleotides) under uncultured Klebsiella sp. Its description in RNAcentral is "bacterial SSU rRNA". It matches the Rfam family "Bacterial small subunit ribosomal RNA", at positions 338 to 795 of the family's 1533-position model. The record is from RNAcentral. Lineage: Bacteria; Pseudomonadati; Pseudomonadota; Gammaproteobacteria; Enterobacterales; Enterobacteriaceae.